CACCCAAUGUUUAUUAUCAAGGAAACUUAACUCAAAACCUUGCAAUUUACAAUCCCUACCAAUUAGAUUGGUAUAUAUAGCUAACCUAAACGCGUUAGACUAUAACUAGGACUCCUAUUAAUUAAUUACAUAAUAAUUAUCUAAACACUCUUCCUAACCUAACACGUAUAGGAACCUUAGAUAAUAUUCACUAAUUAAUUAAUAAUAUUGUUUAUUACUUGUCUUGCACUCCAAGCAAUACUCCUAGCCAUCCUUCACGCAUGUAAGCCACGGAUUAGACUAGGAAUUCCCAACAUUCACCCCCUGAAUUUCUGAGUCGUAUACGGGAGGUCUUCAACGCCAAGUAGAUCCCGCAUCUCCUUGAACUUGAUUUUCGCCAAUGCCUUCUUUGCCAACGGUUUUCGCAUUUGUGUUCCAACCAUGCACGCUUCACACACCUUAUUCUCGUGACGAAUCUUUGGAACUCCUAAAACCAUCCCAUUCAAUUGCUCCAAGGUCUUGAAACUAGCAUACCCGAGCCUCGCAUGCCAUAACCACGAAUCUUCACUGAUUUUCGCCAUAAGACAAACUGGAGUGCCCACUUUCAAUUUCACCUUGUACAAACGAUUUUUCGAACGAGCGACUCGCAUCAAUAAUUUUCCACCACUAUCAAACAUCGUUAGAAAAUUAUCUUUCAUUCGAAUUUCACAUCCAAAUUCGGUUGCUUGACCCAAACUCAUCACGUUACUUUGCAAAUCUGGGAUAUAAUAAAUGUCGGUUAAAAGUUUUUGUUCACCGUUUUUACCUUCAAAUAAAAUCGACCCUUUUCCUUUAAUCGUCACACGCGAACCGUCACCAAACUUCACGCUUCCAGUUAUUCGCUCGUUUAGUUCUACAAAAUAACUCCGGUUACCCGUCAUGUGGUUGCUUGCUCCGUUAUCAAGGUACCAAACAUCUUUUUCGCUAGAAUCGGCUUCAAAUUUCUUUGGCAAAACCUUUUCUUGGUUUAAAAAGAUAGUUUCUUGAUCGCUCUUCAUCAUAAAAAAUGUUCCAUCAACCCCAUUAUCUUGUUCCUCGGCUUGUGCCAUGUUCGCCUCAUUAUUUUUGAAUCGAUCCGGACAUCUUGAAACAAAGUGUCCAUAUUUGUUACACCGGUAACACUUUAUUCCCGAUAAAUCACGCUUUUAUCCUUUUGCUUUCCGUUGUCUCAGGUUUUAUUAUCUUCUUGUUGACCACGGUUUUGGGUGUUAUCCUGACCACGAUCACGCCCUCGCGACGAGUGAGAUCCUCGACCUCGACCUCGACCUCUACCAGAAUCACGUCCACAGCUAGAAGAAGAUUCAGAUUUAGAAAACAUUAACUUACCCGAAUUGUCAUAUGCGUUAUCUUCUUCUUUGAUCCUCUCUUCGUAAGCUUUUAGUCUUCCGACCACAUCUUCAUACCCGACCGUUUUCAAGUCCAAAACUUGUUCAAGCGAGGCCACAAUAUGUAUAAACCGCCUUGGCAAACUAGUGAAUAAUUUCUUGACCAUUUUUCGUUCUUCAAUCUUUUCUCCUAGUGUGGCCGCCUUAGAAGCAAUAGACGACAACUUUGAGGCGUACUCAUCAAUCGUUCCGGUAUCCCUCAUCUUCAAACCAUCGAAUUCGGUUAUUAAGGUUUGAAGUCUUGCUUCUUUCACACGUUCCGCACCGAGAUUUCUUGACUGAAUUGCUUCCCACAUCUCCUUUGCUAGCUUCAAAUUACCGAUCUGUAAAAUCUGUUCCUCCGGUAUCGACUGAAACAGAAGUGCCUUCGCCAUGUUAUUUUUCUUUGCAUCAUUGGAACCCGGAUCAAUCACAUCCCAAACUCCAUAAAUUCCAAAAAUAACCUCCAUACGCAUGCUCCAGAUCGUGUAAUUCGUUGAAGUUAACAUCGGACACUGAAACGAAACUGGAUUCGUUUCCUUUACCGGAGCAUUCGAACCUUCACCUACAACCAUCGUUCGUUUCUUUCGUCGGCUAUAGGUUUUAGUAGUCUCCGGUGAAUCAAUUUUAUUAAUACAACCCUUUUAACGCGGUUGUAAUCGGUUUGUUUUUCGAUUCGUGUCGAUAACGUCGUAGGACAAUCAACGGUUUCCCGUUUCCAACCUACUAUAAUCGACGAUUAAUCAAGACAAUCAACAGUUUUUCCAACUUGAUCAAAUCUGAAUCAAAAAAAAAACUUAGACCACGUUUUAACUUACGGUUUCGAUUGAAACGUAGUUUAAAAAAUAAUAUUGUUUUAUAUGGAAAAACCCAACACCAGCUCUAAAUUAAUUGUAAAUGAAUAAAGUAAUUUAAAAGAAUUACCUUUUUCAAUUAGUCAAUCUCUUUGAAGUUUGAACGUAGCUUUGACUAAAAAAACAAUAGAACGCAGCUUUUUCUCAAGAAUCACAUAUAUCGCUGAUUUCUUUUUCAAUUAUUCACAAAUAAAGCUAUGACCAAAGAGAAUAAUUGAAGAGAAUCACCAGUUCACCACUAUCGCUGAUUUCUUUCCAACGCUCUGCUAAUCUGAUUUCUUGCACUAGAUCAGACUAUGAUUCGUACACCAAUGGCUGGUUUUCCGAUCUCCGCUGGUUUAGUUUGGUCGUUAUAAAUCAACCACCCCCUUCGUUCACAGGUAUGGUUAUUCUUCACAGGUAUAAUCGUAGGCUCUGAUACCAAUUAAAGGAAUUGGUACCAGAUUAGUAGAUAAUCUAAAGUUAAGAAGAGUAAUUGGCUAACACCCAAUGUUUAUUAUCAAGGAAACUUAACUCAAAACCUUGCAAUUUACAAUCCCUACCAAUUAGAUUGGUAUAUAUAGCUAACCUAAACGCGUUAGACUAUAACUAGGACUCCUAUUAAUUAAUUACAUAAUAAUUAUCUAAACACUCUUCCUAACCUAACACGUAUAGGAACCUUAGAUAAUAUUCACUAAUUAAUUAAUAAUAUUGUUUAUUACUUGUCUUGCACUCCAAGCAAUACUCCUAGCCAUCCUUCACGCAUGUAAGCCACGGAUUAGACUAGGAAUUCCCAACAGGCUUUUACACUUGUAUUUUUUUAUUGGUGGACCCCCUUUUUCCGUGUAAAUCGUGCAUUAGCCAAAAAAUUAAAGGGCUAAAUGUUUUUUUUUCCAUUUCUAUUUUUCGUGAUUACUGUCAGAAGGAUGAUCAUUGCAAAUGGUGUUAGAAAAAGAUUUCGAUUCUAGGGGAAUUCCCACAUUGAGAGUUUGUACAUCAUCAAAUAUCUCCUUGGUUUCUCGAUAAACACUUGCUAACCGAGUAACCGGUUGUUUUUACGCAACUAUACAUUAUUGAGUUCGGUCUCACAUCUUUUAAUGGUAGAGUAAGCUUUAUUCGACAUGAAAAUGUGUCCUUGUAUCUUUCUUGACCUUGUGUAAUUGGUAAUACCGUUUGUAGGUAUCUUAAAAAAACAAUUAAGACAUACUAUAUCUUAAGCAAGAAGGGCCCUCUUUCCCUAUUCUUUUUUUAUACUAUAGCUAUGAAGGUGCUAAAUGUUAUGGUGCCCAAAGUGGUGGCGAUUGGAUCCUUCCAUGGCAUUAAACUCCCUAACGAAAGUCCAACCCUUUCUCAUCUUUUUAUGCAGAUGACGCAUUAGUUGUUGGGGUGUUUUCACAUGGCGAGCAGGUUAAGAGUUAACUUGAAGAAAAGUAAACUACAUGGGGUCAAGGUUGGUGAUGUGGUGGUGGAUUCUAUGGGCAAUCACCUUCAUUGACUUACAGGGGAAUUUCCACUUAUUCAUAUAGGUAUGAUGGUGGGGGCGAACAUGGAUAGGGUAGGUAAUUGGUAAGUCGUGAUUGACAACUUUAAUGCAAAGCGCAUCUCUUGAAAAACUAGAAUAUCCUUCUCAGGGAGAGUCACUUUGGAGAAACCGCUCUUGGGGCAAUCCCCGGCUAUUAUUUAUCCAUGUUUAAAUCCAGGGGCGGAUCUAUAGGGUGGCGAGGGAGUGCACGGGAUACCCCUCAACUUUCUUGACGAAGUGCAAAUUUAUGUUUAAUCUCCAUUUUAUAUAUCAAGAAUACCCCUGAGCAAACAUUAGGAUACCCCUUAGUGUAGCUAAAGAAAAGAUGAACUGAAAUUAUAUAUGGUCAACGGAAACAAAAAUUUCCGGUCGCCGGAAGUCUGCAACGUUGGACAUUGUUAAAGAAUGAAGAUAAUGAAUAAUAUUUUAUUAU
This 4170-nucleotide long non-coding RNA is filed under the name Helianthus annuus (common sunflower). RNAcentral describes it as "hypothetical non coding rna". Lineage: Eukaryota; Viridiplantae; Streptophyta; Magnoliopsida; Asterales; Asteraceae. The record is from RNAcentral.